AGAAGAUCAGCCUGGAAUAUAUUGAAUAGCCGAAAAUCAUGUUGAAUAAAUACAAUGAUGUUAACUUGUAACCUACACGGAACUGUGAAAUCUAAGAAAAUAUCAAUUGUAUAAAUUUUCUAAAUAUUCUGACUGUUUUAAAUAGUCUGUAAGUAAAAAAUCCAAAAAUUCAAAAAUUUCAAUGGAAUUCACAUGUGGAAUUUAUUUUAUUUUCCUAGAAAAAAUAUUUGAUUACAAUCAUUUUUGUUGAUAAUUUUUGGAAGACUUCGUAUGAAAUUUCAUAUGCUUUUUGAAAAAG
Caenorhabditis elegans is the source of this 298-nucleotide non-coding RNA. Lineage: Eukaryota; Metazoa; Nematoda; Chromadorea; Rhabditida; Rhabditidae. The record is from Ensembl.